UGGGGAAUAUUGCACAAUGGGGGAAACCCUGAUGCAGCGACGCCGCGUGAACGAAGAAGGUAUUCGUAUCGUAAAGUUCUGUCCUAUGGCAAGAUAAUGACAGUACCAUAGAAGAAAGCUCCGGCUAAAUACGUGCCAGCAGCCGCGGUAAUACGUAUGGAGCGAGCGUUGUCCGCAAUUAUUGGGCGUAAAGGGUACGCAGGCGGUUUAAUAAGUCGAAUGUUAAAGAUCGGGGCUCAACCCCGUAAAGCAUUGGAAACUGAUAAACUUGAGUAGUGGAGAGGAAAGUGGAAUUCCUAGUGUAGUGGUGAAAUACGUAGAUAUUAGGAGGAAUACCAGUAGCGAAGGCGACUUUCUGGACACAAACUGACGCUGAGGUACGAAAGCGUGGGGAGCAAACAGG
This 403-nucleotide ribosomal RNA is filed under the name bacterium. Its description in RNAcentral is "partial 16S ribosomal RNA". It matches the Rfam family "Bacterial small subunit ribosomal RNA", at positions 355 to 776 of the family's 1533-position model. The record is from RNAcentral.